Molecule: non-coding RNA, 102 nt
Filed under: Clostridium bornimense
Lineage: Bacteria; Bacillati; Bacillota; Clostridia; Eubacteriales; Clostridiaceae
Description: Azaaromatic sequence
Rfam family: azaaromatic riboswitch aptamer (yjdF RNA)
Source: Rfam by way of RNAcentral
UAAAGUAGAGAUAAAAACACAGUUCUGUUGGUAGUCAGAACCUAUAAUAGAUUUAUAGCAGUAACCUGCCCUCCUGGGUUGUCCAUUCUCUUGAAGUUUUUA